GAGGGUAUUGCUAAGUGGGAGAGCACAUGCUUAGCAUGCACAAGGUCCUGGGUUCAAUCCCCAGUACCUCCA
This 72-nucleotide transfer RNA is filed under the name Camelus bactrianus (Bactrian camel). It matches the Rfam family "tRNA". From Rfam's summary of the family: Transfer RNA (tRNA) molecules are approximately 80 nucleotides in length. RNAcentral also lists the same sequence under 2 other names. Lineage: Eukaryota; Metazoa; Chordata; Mammalia; Artiodactyla; Camelidae. The record is from Rfam by way of RNAcentral.